UCCUCUUCCGGCCGACUCCGGACGUAAUCCGGCCACCCCCAAGCUCGGUUUCUUCCCCCGGUCACGUCCCUGGAGGUAUCUUUGGACGAUUUGGCCGGAAAAGCUCGGAUCGAAGGAAAUUCCUCCCCGGUUGCAGUUUUGGGAUUUUGCCGAUUUCCGGCCAUUCCGGCCACCUCCGGCCGCCAUAUUCCCAUCGAAGGGUUCUUGGAGCUUCGGGGCUUUCCUUCACCGGCUCGAUUCGGCCACUUAGAGGACGAGAGGAGUCUCCAUACGAGGAGAACCACGAGCGACGUCAGGAUUGACCGCAUAUUAUUGCAGUACUGUUGCUCGGUGUACGAGGGUGAGCCAUAGUGACCGUACCUGCUUCCGCCAUCACAUUCUGUAGGUUACCUGGUUAACCUACUGUAUUCCUUGUCUAUUUAUAUUCCUAGAAUGCUCUGAUUACUAAGGGAUAUGUGACCCAACUUAUAUGUAUUAUAUUUGAGGUCUAUGGCCUAACUUUGGUGAUUGUAGU
Molecule: long non-coding RNA, 514 nt
Organism: Rosa rugosa (rugosa rose)
Lineage: Eukaryota; Viridiplantae; Streptophyta; Magnoliopsida; Rosales; Rosaceae
Exons: 4
Source: RefSeq, a predicted model, not a curated record